Siniperca chuatsi (mandarin fish) is the source of this 2234-nucleotide long non-coding RNA. RefSeq lists it as uncharacterized. Lineage: Eukaryota; Metazoa; Chordata; Actinopteri; Centrarchiformes; Sinipercidae. The record is from RefSeq and is a predicted model, not a curated record. The transcript is spliced from 2 exons.
AUAGAAGUUUUAUUGUGGGCGGGGCUAUUCCAUUUCGCGCCAGUUAGGACGAAACCACUGCUUGUUAAAUAAGGUGGUGUACGGUGUAGAUAUUACAGUAUUUUAGAAGUAAAUACGAACCUCAUAAUAAAGAUUACAAGUGGAAACUAUUUCGAAAUGAAGUGGAAAAUUAUUUACAGACUACAGAGCAUUUCAUGUACAGAGAACACAAUUUAACAACACAGCCACCCCUCUUAGUGGAAAUAUGUGCCACUCCUAAUCUGAUAUUUCCCGCGAAUGUACGUUGCCGGUAAAGGUUCAUCCAUAUUUCUUUAUAUAGGGUUAUUAAGGUCAUCAUAUUGCACUCUGGUUUAAAGUGUUUGUUCUGGCUGACUAAAUCCAGGCUGGAGACCCUCGACAAGUUUUAAUCCUGGAUCGAGGAGCAACCAGCAAACCCUGAUCAGAGGCCCUCAGAGACCUGCUCCAGUCACCAUGUCGAAGUGAUCACAGUAACCUGGAAUCGGAUUCUGAAUUUGAUGGGGAGCCAGUGAAGAGUGCCGCCUUUUGGAGGACCUGGUCUAAAGCUCUGCUGAGGCAGGUGAAGAGGGGGUCCAGUAGUAAAGACGGGACGAGAUAAAAGCGUGAAAUAUCAUUUCCAUUUCCGCGAGAGAGCGCUGGUGUGUGUGUGUGUGUGUGUGGCUGCAGCUGCUGUGGACUUUGUAUUGUUUACACACGUCCGUGUUGUCUGACUUGGUGAUGUUUUAUUCUGCUGCUUGAGCUGUGUCCUGUUAUCUGGUUCAUUCGGGGGAGGCUUGUGUAUUUCUACUUGAUAAUCAGCUGUGUGCUCAAGAGUCCGCCUGUAGAAAAGAGAAACGGGAUGGUCACACCCGGUAACGCCCUUUAACCCCAUGCCCCACUGAUCCAGCCACACCUGUUCCUCACCCUGUAUCUGCUCAUGAUGAUCAGUGUAUUGACCAAAUGUAGAGAUUUAUAUUCACUCUGUGCUGCGAGCUGUUGCGGUUUCUGCUUGUUGGCUGGCAACAAGAGAAGAUGAAAUCUUCCCUGUGAUGUACCAUAGGCAGACCACAUACUGUGAAACAUGAAGAGGUUUAUUUCUCCAUGUACAAUGUAGGCGAAUCAUACCCUCCUCUCUUGUUCCAACAUAGCUGCUGUAAGUCAUUUCCCUUGGGAUUAAUAAAGUAUUCUAUCUGUGUGUCUUAUCCUUUUCAAAGCACUUGUAACGCACCCAUACUAGUGCUAGAAACCGUGCUCCUGCCUCAGGUUUUCUUCAGCAAGAAGUAUCUGCUUUUGGCAAACACAGUUUUCAGCAGAAAUUGUACUUCCCAUUUGACUAAAUGCACACGCCAAAUGCAGGAGUGACUGUUGUAAUCAUCCCAGGUUUCACGCAGUUGCUCUGUGGACAGUUAAGCUCUGGGUGAACACGCUUGUUUUUGGGAAGUCUGAUCAGAUGUGGCAACACUUCAGACUGGAACUUUGUGGGAUUUCCAGUGAAAUCUGCUGACUUGUGUUCAGCAGAAACUGGGCCACACUCUGGCAGUUUAGGAUUCAGGUUAACUAGCCAAUGAGUGGCUCGUACGUCGACGUACACACAUUUACGGCCAUUGUGUUGAGACCCAACCUUCAUAUACAGCUGUCCUGUUCUAACAUCUUAUUUAUUUACAGCAAACACUGGUCCCAGAGUCCCUUUCAAACGGAAUUUAGUUGCCUUUAUUAUGAAAACAAGAACAUUGUAUUUUAUAUAUGCAAUUCUGUACUGAUAUUACACAGCAACUGGCAAACAGACCCUAUGUAACUGGCAGUGGAUAUGCCAAAUGAAUGUAGAAUAAAUAAUUCCAACAUCUCACCAAGAAUCACAGACAGGUCCUCCGAUUUCAUACAGUCUGGUUGUACAAUAUUUAUUUUCUGUUGUUACAUUUUCAAAAGUGUUACAUGUUGGGCAACAAACUUUGUUGUAUUCAGCCACAAAUUUAAUGCAGAGAUAGUCAAGACUAUCCCAAUAACGUACUGAACACUACAGAACAGGCAAGUCAGAUCUGACAUAAUAUAUACAUAAUGUUUAUGUACAUAUACUGUUGCACUAGACUUUAGAUGCUGGACUGUGAGACACUGCUGUGCAGAGGUUGGCGAGGAAAAAAAAACAACACACACCUUCAAAUGGCAGACUGACAGACACAUGCUGAUACAAACAGCAAAAUAAUCACUGAACGAAAAGAGAAACAGAAACCUUAAUGAAA